This 68-nucleotide small RNA is filed under the name [Enterobacter] lignolyticus SCF1. RNAcentral describes it as "Enterobacter cloacae SCF1 Salmonella enterica sRNA STnc40". It matches the Rfam family "Salmonella enterica sRNA STnc40". Lineage: Bacteria; Pseudomonadati; Pseudomonadota; Gammaproteobacteria; Enterobacterales; Enterobacteriaceae. The record is from Rfam by way of RNAcentral.
ACAGUGCCAUGGCCGUUUGAGCUAAGGGACUGAAUAAAAACGAAGGCGCAGGUGACUGCGCCUUUUUU